Molecule: unclassified non-coding RNA, 374 nt
Filed under: uncultured bacterium
Lineage: Bacteria
Description: contains 16S-23S intergenic spacer region
Source: RNAcentral
UCCGGUUUGGCACCGGCAGUCUCCCUAGAGUCCCCGGCUUUACCCGCUGGCAACUAAAGGCAAGGGUUGCGCUCGUUGCGGGACUUAAGCCAACACCUCACGGCACGAGCUGACGACAGCCAUGCAGCACCUGUGCUAGCCCCUUACGGACACGGGCUUUCACCCGCUUUAACUAGCAUGUCAAACCCAGGUAGGGUUCUUCGCGUUGCAUCGAAUUAAGCCACAUGCUCCGCCGCUUGUGCGGGCCCCCGUCAAUUCCUUUGAGUUUCAGUCUUGCGACCGUACUCCCCAGGCGGGGUGCUUAAAGCGUUAGCUGCGCCACCGAUGAGCAAGCUCACCAACGGCUAGCACCCAUAGUUUACGGCGUGGACUAC